AUUGAACGCUGGCGGCAGGCUUAACACAUGCAAGUCGAGAGGUAACAGAGAGAAGCUUGCUUCUCUGCUGACGAGCGGCGGACGGGUGAGUAAUGCCUAGGAAUCUGCCUAGUAGUGGGGGAAAACUUGCCGAAAGGUAAGCUAAUACCGCAUACGUCCUACGGGAGAAAGGAGGGGACCUUCGGGCCUUUCGCUAUUAGAUGAGCCUAGGUCGGAUUAGUUAGUUGGUGGGGUAAUGGCUCACCAAGACCGCGAUCCGUAACUGGUCUGAGAGGAUGAUCAGUCACACUGGAACUGAGACACGGUCCAGACUCCUACGGGAGGCAGCAGUGGGGAAUAUUGGACAAUGGGGGGAACCCUGAUCCAGCCAUGCCGCGUGUGUGAAGAAGGUCUUAGGAUUGUAAAGCACUUUAAGUUGGGAGGAAGAGCAGUUAACUAAUAUUUGACUGUUUUGACGUUACCGACAGAAUAAGCACCGGCUAACUUCGUGCCAGCCGCCGCGGUAA
This 506-nucleotide ribosomal RNA is filed under the name uncultured bacterium. Its description in RNAcentral is "partial 16S ribosomal RNA". It matches the Rfam family "Bacterial small subunit ribosomal RNA", at positions 30 to 523 of the family's 1533-position model. The record is from RNAcentral.